AGUGAACGCUGGCGGUAGGCCUAACACAUGCAAGUCGAACGGCAGCACAGUAAGAGCUUGCUCUUACGGUUGGCGAGUGGCGGACGGGUGAGGAAUACAUCGGAAUCUACUUUUUCGUGGGGGAUAACGUAGGGAAACUUACGCUAAUACCGCAUACGACCUACGGGUGAAAGCAGUGGAUCUUCGGACCUUUCGCGAUUGAAUGAGCCGAUGUCGGAUUAGCUAGUUGGCGGGGUAAAGGCCCACCAAGGCGACGAUCCGUAGCUGGUCUGAGAGGAUGAUCAGCCACACUGGAACUGGGACACGGUCCAGACUCCUACGGGAGGCAGCAGUGGGGAAUAUUGGACAAUGGGCGCAAGCCUGAUCCAGCCAUACCGCGUGGGUGAAGAAGGCCUUCGGGUUGUAAAGCCCUUUUGUUGGGAAAGAAAAGCAGCAGGUUAAUACCCCGCUGUUCUGACGGUACCCAAAGAAUAAGCACCGGCUAACUUCGUG
This 492-nucleotide ribosomal RNA is filed under the name uncultured bacterium. RNAcentral describes it as "partial 16S ribosomal RNA". It matches the Rfam family "Bacterial small subunit ribosomal RNA", at positions 29 to 507 of the family's 1533-position model. The record is from RNAcentral.